UACAGAGGUCCCAAGCGUUGUUCGGAUUCACUGGGCGUAAAGGGUGCGUAGGUGGCGAGGUAAGUCGGAUGUGAAAGCUCGGAGCUCAACUCCGAAAUGGCAUUGGAAACUACCUUGCUCGAGGGUUGGAGGGGGGACUGGAAUGCUUGGUGUAGCAGUGAAAUGCGUAGAUAUCAAGCGGAACACCAGUGGCGAAGGCGAGGCCCUGGACAACUCCUGACACUGAGGCACGAAAGCUAGGGGAGCAAACAGG
This 253-nucleotide ribosomal RNA is filed under the name uncultured bacterium. Its description in RNAcentral is "partial 16S ribosomal RNA". It matches the Rfam family "Bacterial small subunit ribosomal RNA", at positions 524 to 776 of the family's 1533-position model. The record is from RNAcentral.